Molecule: ribosomal RNA, 503 nt
Filed under: uncultured soil bacterium
Lineage: Bacteria
Description: bacterial SSU rRNA
Rfam family: Bacterial small subunit ribosomal RNA
Source: RNAcentral
AGGACGAACGCUGGCGGCGUGCUUAACACAUGCAAGUGGAGCGACGAACCAGGCUUCGGCCUGGGGCAGAGCCGCGAACGGGUGAGUAACACGUGGGUAACCUGCCUCGAUGACCGGGACAACCCGGGGAAACCCGGGCUAAUACCGGAUGUGCUCCUUCACAUCAGUGAGGACAGGAAAGGAAGCUUCGGCCUCCGCAUCGAGAUGGGCCCGCGGCCCAUUAGCUUGUUGGUGAGGUAACGGCUCACCAAGGCUGCGAUGGGUAGCUGGUCUGAGAGGACGAUCAGCCACACUGGGACUGAGACACGGCCCAGACUCCUACGGGAGGCAGCAGUGGGGAAUCUUGCGCAAUGCGCGAAAGCGUGACGCAGCAACGCCGCGUGGGGAAGACGGCUUCGGUUGUAAACCCCUUUCAGGAGGACGAAGGCAGAGCGGUUAAUAGCCGACUCGGUUGACGGUACCUCCAAGAAGAAGCCCCGGACUAACUACGUCGCCAGCAGCCG